AACAUCGCGCACCUGCGGGAACCUGCGGAGGGAUCAUUAUCGAGUUUACAACUCCCAAACCCCUGUGAACAUACCAAUCGUUGCCUCGGCGGGACCGCCCCGGCGCCCCCGGGCCCGGACCCAGGCGCCCGCCGGAGGACCCCCAAACUCACUUGAUUCCACGGUGUAUCUUCUGAGUGACACAAGCAAAUAAAAUCAAAACUUUUAGCAAUGGAUCU
This 218-nucleotide unclassified non-coding RNA is filed under the name soil metagenome. RNAcentral describes it as "partial contains 5.8S ribosomal RNA, internal transcribed spacer 2, and large subunit ribosomal RNA". The record is from RNAcentral.